Molecule: ribosomal RNA, 293 nt
Filed under: uncultured eukaryote
Lineage: Eukaryota
Description: partial 18S ribosomal RNA
Rfam family: Eukaryotic small subunit ribosomal RNA
Source: RNAcentral
GGUUGAUCCUGCCAGUAGUCAUAUGCUUGUCUCAAAGAUUAAGCCAUGCAUGUCUAAGUAUAACUAUUUGUACUGAGAAACUGCGAAUGGCUCAUUAAAUCAGUUCUAAUUUAUUUGAUCAUACCUUACUACUUGGAUAACCGUGGUAAUUCUAGAGCUAAUACAUGCUAAAAAUCCCGACUUCUGGAAGGGAUGUAUUUAUUAGAUAAAAAACCAACCCGGGUAACCGGUUUCUUGGUGAUUCAUGAUAACUUUUCGAAUCGCAUGCCAUAGCGCGGCGAUGGUUCAUUCAA